GAUGAACGCUGGCGGCGUGCCUAAUACAUGCAAGUCGAGCGAACAGACGCGGAGCUUGCUCCUCUGACGUUAGCGGCGGACGGGUGAGUCACACGUGGAUAACCUACCUAUAAGACUGGGAUAACUUCGGGAAACCGGAGCUAAUACCGUAUAAUCUAUUGAACCGCAUGGUUCAAUAGUGAAAGACGGUUUUGCUGUCACUUCUAGAUGGAUCCGCGCCGCAUUAGCUAGUUGGUAAGGUAACGGCUUACCAAGGCAACGAUGCGUAGCCGACCUGAGAGGGUGAUCGGCCACACUGGAACUGAGACACGGUCCAGACUCCUACGGGAGGCAGCAGUAGGGAAUCUUCCGCAAUGGGCGAAAGCCUGACGGAGCAACGCCGCGUGAGUGAUGAAGGUCUUCGGAUCGUAAAACUCUGUUAUUAGGGAAGAACAAAUGUGUAAGUAACUAUGCACGUCUUGACGGUACCUAAUCAGAAAGCCACGGCUAACUACGUG
This 497-nucleotide ribosomal RNA is filed under the name uncultured bacterium. RNAcentral describes it as "partial 16S ribosomal RNA". It matches the Rfam family "Bacterial small subunit ribosomal RNA", at positions 28 to 507 of the family's 1533-position model. The record is from RNAcentral.